CAAGCCAAUCCGUAAGUAAACUAUGAAAUCCUUGACUCAAUGUACCUUAUAGUCUAGCCAUCAUCAUUUAAAGGUUGACACACAUAGCAUCCAUCAGUCGACAUAACCAAGAACAAUGAGAUCCAAUGAUGCAAAUACCAAACUGACAAGUUAACAUGGUAAUUGGAAUACGAUUGAAAAGCUUAAGUUGGUAGUUAUGAAACCACACCUAGUAUAUCUUACCUUAUUUUUUAUUCUCUUGUCCAUGUGAAUCUAACCACCCGUGGC
This 267-nucleotide long non-coding RNA is filed under the name Musa acuminata (dwarf banana). RNAcentral describes it as "long non-coding RNA (MACU_LNC011579)". Lineage: Eukaryota; Viridiplantae; Streptophyta; Magnoliopsida; Zingiberales; Musaceae. The record is from RNAcentral.